GACGAACGCUGGCGGCGUGCUUAACACAUGCAAGUCGAACGGAAAGGCCCCUUUGGGGGUACUCGAGUGGCGAACGGGUGAGUAACACGUGAGUAACCUGCCCUUGACUUCGGGAUAACUUCAGGAAACUGGGGCUAAUACCGGAUAGGAAUCCUUGCUGCAUGGUGGGGGUUGGAAAGCUUCGGCGGUUUUGGAUGGACUCGCGGCUUAUCAGCUUGUUGGUGGGGUGUGGCUUACCAAGGCUUUGACGGGUAGCCGGCCUGAGAGGGCGACCGGCCACAUUGGGACUGAGAUACGGCCCAGACUCCUACGGGAGGCAGCAGUGGGGAAUAUUGCACAAUGGGCGGAAGUCUGAUGCAGCAACGCCGCGGGCGGGAUGACGGCCUUCGGGUUGUAAACCGCGUUCAGCAGGGGCGAAGCUUGUGGUGACGGUACCUGCAGAAGAAGCACCGGCUAACUACGUG
RNAcentral lists this ribosomal RNA (464 nucleotides) under uncultured bacterium. RNAcentral describes it as "partial 16S ribosomal RNA". It matches the Rfam family "Bacterial small subunit ribosomal RNA", at positions 28 to 507 of the family's 1533-position model. The record is from RNAcentral.